Molecule: ribosomal RNA, 254 nt
Filed under: uncultured bacterium
Lineage: Bacteria
Description: partial 16S ribosomal RNA
Rfam family: Bacterial small subunit ribosomal RNA
Source: RNAcentral
UACGUAGGUGGCAAGCGUUUGUCCGGAAUUAUUGGGCGUAAAGCGCGCGCAGGCGGUCCUUUAAGUCUGAUGUGAAAGCCCACGGCUCAACCGUGGAAGGUCAUUGGAAACUGGAGGACUUGAGUACAGAAGAGGAAAGCGGAAUUCCACGUGUAGCGGUGAGAUGCGUAGAGAUGUGGAGGAACACCAGUGGCGAAGGCGGCUUUCUGGUCUGUAACUGACGCUGAGGCGCGAAAGCGUGGGGAGCAAACAGG